This 560-nucleotide ribosomal RNA is filed under the name Pachydiplax longipennis. RNAcentral describes it as "eukaryotic LSU rRNA". It matches the Rfam family "Eukaryotic large subunit ribosomal RNA", at positions 1398 to 1889 of the family's 3401-position model. The record is from RNAcentral. Lineage: Eukaryota; Metazoa; Arthropoda; Insecta; Odonata; Libellulidae.
UGUGCGCAGAAKNNUCUGGGCUCNAGCCUGCCUGGAGCCGCCGCCGGUGCAGAUCUUGGUGGUAGUAGCAAAUACUCCAGCGAGGCCCUGGAGGACUGAUGUGGAGAAGGGUUUCGUGUGAACAGCCGUUGCACACGAGUCAGUCGAUCCUAAGCCCUAGGAGAAAUCCGAUGCAAACGGCGAUGGGAAACGCACUGAACUCGAUUUAUUGAGACAGAGACCCAUUGAACGGGCGAAAGGGAAUCCGGUUCCUAUUCCGGAACCCGGCAGCGGAACCGUUGUUUGUCGGGCCCUCGCAAGGGGUUCGUCAGGGCAACCUAAAAGGGCCCGGAGACGCCGUCGGGGGCCCCGGAAAGAGUUUUCUUUUCUGCAUGAGCGUUCGAGUUCCCUGGAAUCCUCUCGCAGGGAGAUAGGGUUUGGAACGCGAAGAGCACCGCAGUUGCGGCGGUGCACGGGAAUUCCCGACGGACCUUGAAAAUCCGGGAGAGGGCCACGUGGAGGUGUCGCGCCGGCUCGUACCCAUAUCCGCAGCAGGUCUCCAAGGUGAAGAGCCUCUAGUC